RNAcentral lists this long non-coding RNA (405 nucleotides) under Struthio camelus australis. RNAcentral's name for it is "lncRNA (ENSSCUG00000016967.1)". The record is from RNAcentral. Lineage: Eukaryota; Metazoa; Chordata; Aves; Struthioniformes; Struthionidae.
GGGGAACUUAAGGCCCCCAGGGUGGUGCUGCUUGAUGAGGCCCUCCAGCACCAUCAGACCUGCCUUAAAGAUGGCUUCUUUCUAGCGGCCUAAGCCAUCUGACGCUGGGGUGCUCUGAGAAAUGAUACUCUAGUUGUCUCCAGGAUUCACCAGAAUCAGAUAUUGAACGAGAAAAAGACAAAAAAGAGAGAGAGAAUGAGGACAGAGCUAGACAAAGAUCUGAAUCAAAACAUAAAUCUCCUACUAAAAAAAGACUGGGAAAAGAUUCUGGCAUCCUUACCCAUUUUCUCGCCUUCCUGGGGACUAUGCUGUGGGACUCAUGGCAGAUGUGUGUGGGCCAGCUGAAGGCCAGGGUGGCUGUCUGGCGACAUCCCAGAGGAAGGAGAGUGAAGGCCACACAUGUUU